Acinonyx jubatus (cheetah) is the source of this 1586-nucleotide long non-coding RNA. RefSeq lists it as uncharacterized. The record is from RefSeq and is a predicted model, not a curated record. Lineage: Eukaryota; Metazoa; Chordata; Mammalia; Carnivora; Felidae. The transcript has 4 exons.
UACAACCAUGAUGUCUACAAGAUGGCAGCUUGGAUGUUCAAACUGAAUUCAGCUGUAUUACAUAUACACCUCCUACUCGUCUACCCAGCCCUAGUGAAGGAAUCUUGACCUUCUUAGGCACCAAGAACCCAGAUUGAAGCAAGGAGGGGUAAAAUGAAUGACUGCGAAAACCAUUUCUCUCUAGAGGCACGGAGAGGAGGAGGACCUUUUGACAGGAGGUCCCUAGGCCACUGCACUCUGAUGUGUGGACAAUCACGAGACCCAGAGUCAUCCUAGGGAGUUAAAGAACCACCAGCCUCACCACUGAAGACUGAGCACUGACGACUCCAGCCUUCCUGGAGAUGCGUAAGAAGUACAUGGCUUCCAGAAAUAAAAAUAAAGACAUUAAAAAAAAAAAAAAAAAGACUGACAGUCCAGUCGUCAUGAAAAAGCAGCCCUCAAAACCCGUGCUUCUCUCUCAUCCUGUGCUGCUUUGAGGGUGACUGGCAACCCAUUUGUGUGCUCUAAAAGUUUUCAGAGGCAAAAGUAUCUUUAUUUUUGGAACACCUUUGGAAGAUCCUUAGCAUAUAACGCAUGGCUCCUCUUUCCAUACUCUCCUAAAUGAUACCUGCAUAAAAGCAAAAUGGACUUCCAGGGUUUGGUGUGACAAGCAGUGAAGAAUACUGGCUCAUUUAUUAGCAGCAGCCACAACCUUUUUUCAGACCAUAAAAAAAAAAAAAAUGAUGUCACUAAAUUUCGCCCAGAUCUGCUGUCGUGGCAAGAGUUUGGGAAAAUACCUGUCAGAGUGAAAAACAAAAACCGGACAUUGUACUUCAAUCACAUUUAACUCUGAAUGUGUUCAUCAACGUCAUUGUUCACCAUUCUGGAAAAAAAGGUUAUGAACAUAAUUAUGUGUGUCGAUUCUCAAUCAAUUUUGUUCUAUAACUGAGGCAGAUACUACCCCACCAAUUCUAAGUCAUCCUCACUUAUCAAAAAUUCAGGGGAUUUUUAGAGACUUUAUUUUUCAAACUACCAAGGAAGUGCUCAGUAUCUCAUCAAGCAGCACAUUUUUAGCAAAUACUCUACUUCAUCACUUGGCUUUUCUUAAGACAACAGUUUGAGGAAGAAGAAAGCAUGAAAAAAGAUCAAACUUUUCUAUUCCCAGGCUCUGAACUAUGAGCCAAGGAGGAUGAUGGCAAGAAUCUCUCAUCUACUCAGAAAAAGUUAAAUAAAACUGAGAGUCCAUUAGACAAAAGUUAGAGAUUCAUCCCCCUUGAGCUAUAUUUAAGCUCUCAACAUAAGAGGCAACAAGAAUUUCAAAAGAAAGCCUAUGUCUACAUCAGAUCUCAGAAGAAGAUGUUUUACUAAAAACUUACCAUCAUUUUCCUUGUCAAAAUUAUAUAACCAUGUGGGUUUUGUUCAGAUCUCAGAAUGUCAAAUCUUCCAUACUGUGUUUGAGUUCAUACCCUAUACCUACAUCCAGGGCAGUGGGGGGAAUCUAAAAAUACUAGUAGCCUUUGUGUUAGGACUUCCUAUGCACGAAAGAAUUGAUAGAAUUACUUGGCAAAACAUUGUACAAAUGCAGUCUGGGAAAUUAUAUGGCGGGG